Molecule: long non-coding RNA, 234 nt
Filed under: Solanum melongena (eggplant)
Lineage: Eukaryota; Viridiplantae; Streptophyta; Magnoliopsida; Solanales; Solanaceae
Description: long non-coding RNA (SMEL_LNC000034)
Source: RNAcentral
UUCCUAAAACGUGAGGUGAGCUGCUGAUUCUACUCUUGGAGUGACUCAACAUAAUGCUCCCAGAAAUUGGAACCGGAAAUAAGAUAAAAGAAUCAAAAAAAAGACCAUAGUAGAUCUAUGAUUAGCCCUCAGUCGGGAUGGUCCUGUCGAAGAACUUGAUUCAUGCAGAGAAAGAAACUUAGGAUAGGAGACUGAUGGAAGCAGCAGGGCUGGGUCUGCGAGUGAAACCCCAAA